Molecule: ribosomal RNA, 464 nt
Filed under: uncultured Klebsiella sp.
Lineage: Bacteria; Pseudomonadati; Pseudomonadota; Gammaproteobacteria; Enterobacterales; Enterobacteriaceae
Description: bacterial SSU rRNA
Rfam family: Bacterial small subunit ribosomal RNA
Source: RNAcentral
CCUACGGGAGGCAGCAGUGGGGAAUAUUGCACAAUGGGCGCAAGCCUGAUGCAGCCAUGCCGCGUGUGUGAAGAAGGCCUUCGGGUUGUAAAGCACUUUCAGCGGGGAGGAAGGCGGUGAGGUUAAUAACCUCAUCGAUUGACGUUACCCGCAGAAGAAGCACCGGCUAACUCCGUGCCAGCAGCCGCGGUAAUACGGAGGGUGCAAGCGUUAAUCGGAAUUACUGGGCGUAAAGCGCACGCAGGCGGUCUGUCAAGUCGGAUGUGAAAUCCCCAGGCUCAACCUGGGAACUGCAUUCGAAACUGGCAGGCUAGAGUCGUGUAGAGGGGGGUAGAAUUCCAGGUGUAGCGGUGAAAUGCGUAGAGAUCUGGAGGAAUACCGGUGGCGAAGGCGGCCCCCUGGACAAAGACUGACGCUCAGGUGCGAAAGCGUGGGGAGCAAACAGGAUUAGAUACCCGAUAGUC